GGAGAGAUGGCUCAGAGGUUAAGAGCACUUGGCUGCUCUUCUAAAAGACCUGGGUUCAAUUCCCAGCGCCG
RNAcentral lists this transfer RNA (71 nucleotides) under Mesocricetus auratus (golden hamster). It matches the Rfam family "tRNA". Rfam says of the family: Transfer RNA (tRNA) molecules are approximately 80 nucleotides in length. The record is from Rfam by way of RNAcentral. Lineage: Eukaryota; Metazoa; Chordata; Mammalia; Rodentia; Cricetidae.